This 305-nucleotide ribosomal RNA is filed under the name uncultured bacterium. RNAcentral's name for it is "bacterial SSU rRNA". It matches the Rfam family "Bacterial small subunit ribosomal RNA", at positions 334 to 655 of the family's 1533-position model. The record is from RNAcentral.
GUUUCCUACGGGGCGCAGCAGUGGGGAAUAUUGUACAAUGGGGGAAACCCUGAUGCAGCGACGCCGCGUGAGUGAAGAAGUAUUUCGGUAUGUAAAGCUCUAUCAGCAGGGAAGAAAAAAGACGGUACCUGACCAAGCAGCCCCGGCUAACUACGUGCCAGCAGCCGCGGUAAUACGUAGGGGGCAAGCGUUAUCCGGAAUUACUGGGUGUAAAGGGAGCGUAGACGGUUAAGUAAGUCUGGAGUGAAAGGCCGGGGCCCAACCCCGGGACUGCUCUGGAAACUAUUGAGCUUGAGUGCUGGAGG